RNAcentral lists this ribosomal RNA (253 nucleotides) under uncultured bacterium. RNAcentral's name for it is "partial 16S ribosomal RNA". It matches the Rfam family "Bacterial small subunit ribosomal RNA", at positions 524 to 776 of the family's 1533-position model. The record is from RNAcentral.
UACGAAGGGGGCUAGCGUUGCUCGGAAUCACUGGGCGUAAAGGGUGCGUAGGCGGGUCUUUAAGUCAGGGGUGAAAUCCUGGAGCUCAACUCCAGAACUGCCUUUGAUACUGAAGAUCUUGAGUUCGGGAGAGGUGAGUGGAACUGCGAGUGUAGAGGUGAAAUCCGUAGAUAUUCGCAAGAACACCAGUGGCGAAGGCGGCUCACUGGCCCGAUACUGACGCUGAGGCACGAAAGCGUGGGGAGCAAACAGG